GGCAAACAAAACAGGUGCGCAGUUUCUCCGAAAGCAAAUUGAAGCGGCAACUAACGAAAAAGAAGAGUAAGUGUGAAAAUAAGUGUAACAGUGCGUACCGGAACACCACGUCUCCACCGGGAACAGAUUCGUCGUCGUCCGUAAGAUAAUCUUCACCCUGACUGCGGCAGUGCGUCGUGGCUCUCGCCUGAACUCUAAUCUCAGAUGAACUAAAGGUCUGCUGCCGAAAAGUUUUCACGAUGUGGCAGGAAAAGCUUCUACAAGUUGUGAUAUCUAUAGCAAUCCAUAGCAGCGUCGGAAGGGUUGGACUCGAGGGAGCCUGGUCAGUACUGGGCAGAACGGUGAAAAUCAACUAAAGCAACAAGGUACUCCCGUCAACCAUGGUGGACCAACAACACUGAACACAGAAAUCAUCAAUCAACUACAAGAAGUACUAGCAUCUGUAUAUAUAGCAUCCCCUCCCAUCUGUUAUAAUCAAUGCCUUGUAAUAUUUCUAUCUUUUUUAACAUGUGCACAAAUAUUAAUAAAAAAAUCUGCGGGGGUGGGGCGUUUGACUAGUCUCUGUAAUUGAUCCAAAAAUUCCCCGGAAGCUGGCAAACUCACUGGUAAAAUUCUUGGUUGAUCUUGGUUCACCUAAGAACAUCUCAAGUAGUGCCAGCUAAAUUGGCUUUGAGUUAUAAAUUUAUAUAACGCCUAAAAGUUAGUGUUUUUUUUUAUUAAUAUUUUUAUCACUUUAAUCAGAACUCUCAGUAAGCAGGUUUACCAUUUUCUAUGUAAAUGAGGUUUAACGCAAAACACUUAGAACUUAUAAAACUACCUAUGGUGUCCAUAAGACAUAAUUCCAAUAUAGGCGAAUUUGUGGCUAAGAAAGUUCACCAUGUCCUCCCACAUUGCGAGGUGACGCAA
Molecule: long non-coding RNA, 906 nt
Organism: Aedes albopictus (Asian tiger mosquito)
Lineage: Eukaryota; Metazoa; Arthropoda; Insecta; Diptera; Culicidae
Exons: 4
Source: RefSeq, a predicted model, not a curated record